AUCGCACAGGCUGAACACUCACUAAAGUCUACUGUUACGCAUAUAGCCUUCCUUACUAACCAGAGCGAUGGUGGUUAUAUCGCCAUUUAAAUGCUUGGGAAGAAUCUCAGCUAAUACUAGAACUAGCCCCCAUACACACUUGGGUGAUAAACUUGGGAAAAUGCCUUUGCAAAAAGGUUUGGCAUCCUUCUGCUAGCAAAUCAAAUCAUUUAACUAAUACUUAAUGGCCAACUGUUUUGGCAUUGGAAAGAAACAUUAGAAGCCAAAGUAUGGCCCAUAAGUACUAAAAAAUUUGUUACUGGUAACUUCUCUCUACACAUAGAAAUCCUUAAUGAUGCUGGGCCUGACUUAGGUGAGCUCCCAGACUCCUGUAAUCAAACCCUCUGGUUUGAUUCAGAUGGUAGAGGCUGGACUCAUAUAUAAUGAGACAGAUAUAAAAACAGAAAAUGGCAAUGACACCCUCAUUCACACCAUUAAAGAGGUCACUGAAACUAUACAUUGGUUUAAUAGAAACUCUAAAGGCAAGUUAAAUGCCUCUCUAAUACCAUUAUAUAAGGUUACCAACAGUUUUACAUACUGAUAGAUCAAAAUUCAGGUCGCAUCCAGAAAGAGAACCAGUCUUACCUAAUUGGUAAUGGUACACAUGGAUUACUUUAUCAAGCCAUAGAAAUGUCUUUUUCUCCUAUCCUAGUUUAAACCACGGUCAUUCAAACUAGGAAUGCAAAGAUGCCAACAUGAUUAAAAGUAAUCAUGAUCUUUGUAUCACAUCUGGUUUUUUGGUAAUGGGAUCCACCAUAACUUUACAUCAGUGACACUGCGUUAUUUGUUCUUUGUUGUAAUAAGAUACAUGGACAAAGGUUUCCUACCCAAAUGGUCUAGAUGCUAUGGUACAGGAUAUCUCUCACCCCAAAUAACCAAAUUUAAAUACUAGUCAAGUUACUAACUUGGGAUCAUUUGUACAUAAAGUAACCUCCCACUAAAAAAAUUUUUAUGAGCUUUGAAAUCCAGUUAUACACAUGAGCUCUGGAUUUCAUCCUUUUGUUAGAGUACUCUUCCUUCAACUACGAGUCUCUGAACUAGAAAAAUCACUUAUCAAUAUUUCUAUAACUCUCAAAAAGUAUUAAUGAUAUCUUAAUUUACUUUCAAGUAAUAGAAUCCAUGAGUAGUUUAGCUUUAGCUGUACUCUAGAAUAGGAGAGUUUGUGAUACCCAAACUGCUCAAGGAGGAGCUUGUGCUCUUAUCGAAGAAAAAAAAUGCUGUUUUUCUGUUAAUAAGUCAGGAAUUAUAGCCCAAAAUCUUA
This 1300-nucleotide long non-coding RNA is filed under the name Homo sapiens (human). Its description in RNAcentral is "non-protein coding lnc-MCU-2:1". The record is from RNAcentral. Lineage: Eukaryota; Metazoa; Chordata; Mammalia; Primates; Hominidae.